AAGGCAGCAGGAGAAAAAGGAUACGGGAGAAGGAGCUCUGGUGGAAAAUACCCAGAUGUAAACGGUCGCUUCCCUCUUCCUGCCAGCCAGCUCAUGGCAAGAGCUUCAUCUGCUGCUUGCCUUGCAAAAAACUGAAAUAGCAGAAAAAGCAGCAGUCUAGGAAAGGCUGCUAAAGGCCCUGAAAGCAGGGGGUACCUAAAUCCCUGGGAGCCUGUGGUUUUGGGGUGCCUCAGAGAAGGUCCCUGCUGGUGCCCAGCCCUCUUGUGAGAAUGACGGUGUCUCAGAGUCAUUUUUCUGCCUAUUUGCUUCAGUGUGGGAAAGGCAUAGCAGGGAAAAUACCCCGCCGAGGCAGUUUUUGCCCUUAAAACUGCCCCAGGCACCCCCCCCCCAAGCAGCACUGCAGAGCCGGUGCCUUGGGGCUGCCGGCCUCACUCCUCGAAGCUGAAGAUCUCUGCUUCCUUCUCCUUCCAGAAGGCGAAGCUGCGAUCGAUGUACCUGCAGAUCUCCUCGUUGCUGACACCGGCGAAAGCAGCCCCGCAGCCCGGGUGAUGCCGGGGCGGUGGGCUCUGUGCUGGCGUGCUGGCUGCGGGCUGCCGAGGGCUUCCYGCAGCACCCCGGCCCGACCCCAGCCAGCACACGGAGCCCUUGGUGCUGCCAAAAUACCUCGCCUUGAUAUCUUCAAAGCUGUCUUUCCAGCCUCGCCGGCCGGCGUCGAUCUCAUCUGUCACAGCCCGGUGGAAGGCACGCACCGUGUCCCAGCUGUGCCGGCCCAGGUGGUCGAACACCUCGAAGCAGAGCAGGUGCCGGCCCCGGCGCUCUUCCGGGGAAAGGUCCUGCUCCAGGAUGCGGAAAUAGCCCAGCAUGAAGAGGUCCAGCGUGAGGCUGUCGUAGUCGGCCGGCAUGCCGUUGAUGUGGGGCAGGAACUGCUCCGGGGAGAGCGAUUUGCUGGACUCGCUGGGCUUCAUCAUCCCGCAAGACUUGGUCACUGGCGAGGAGAGAGGGACAGGCSUGCGUUAGGCGUUAAGGUGUGUGUGUGGGGGGACGUUGGCGGAGCGCGGCGGGACGGAGGCCGGGUUUCGUGCGUCGCGGAUGCUUGCACCGCUGAGGAUGCGUGGGGAGGCCCGGCGAUCGCUUAG
Molecule: long non-coding RNA, 1136 nt
Filed under: Apteryx haastii (Great spotted kiwi)
Lineage: Eukaryota; Metazoa; Chordata; Aves; Apterygiformes; Apterygidae
Description: lncRNA (ENSAHAG00000019176.1)
Source: RNAcentral